AAAGAAAAGAAAAGAAAAGAAAAGAAAAGAAAAGAAAAGAAAAGAAAAGAAAAGAAAAGAAAAGAAAAGAAAAGAAAAGAAAAGAAAAGAAAAGACGUUAACAGCCCAGCUUGCAGCUGUGCCAGAUGGAGCGGGUGGAAGUUGCUUCAGGGGGGGCAUGUGUGGGCAAUGGUAGAAGUACAGGAGAGAUCAGUUCUCUCUUUGCUGCUAGAAGCCAAAGUAAUCUCCCUGUGUGGUCAACUGUCAGCUCUUCCUUCUCUCCUUGGGCAGGAGGAAAGGAACUUUCUGUGUCAGCCCCACAAUGCCAUGCUGGAUGGGACACAUGGAAGUAUCUCCAGGAUCCACAGUGGAAGUGGUAGUGAAGGUGCUGCUGGGAGCUGCCUUUUGAAGUCUGGUGGAGAUACUCAGAUACUGCCAGAGAGAAGACAGAAAGGAUGAGUCUGAAUAGGAACAGUCCGAAGAGGAACAGGAAGCACGUUCCUCUGUGAUUACAGUGGGCUAGUGUCCAGGCAUUUGCAUGCAUUAUCUGAAUUACUGGGGAGAGGCUUAAGGCUACAGGAGUUAAAGCCAAUGAUUUCCAUAUCAAAGGGCUUUUUGAAUAAGUAUCAGAACAGACAUUUCCCUCUCUAUGUGUUACGGGUGCUUUUUGUUUUUUUUUUUUUCUUUCUUCCUGGGAUCAGACAAAGUAACAGCUUAAUCUUCUUAAAGAAGCCUUGAUAAUUUGUUAAGCAAAAAUCUGGCUCUGGGAUGAGGUUCAUAACUUAAAGCCAUAGGUGGCCAACCUUGAGCAAACAAGAAAUGUCUAGAUUUGGAAAAAGGAGAUGAAAUAAUUUCUGUAAUUUUCAGGGGAAAAAUGCCUAAUGUCUCCUAAAACAUAUCAUACUUCCAGGGUGUAUUAAUGUAAUUUCCAAAAACUAAGAGAACUAUACUUUAAAGUCUGAGUCACACCAUCUGGUUCUGUCACUGCUCAGUGCCCAAAGCAUAUGGUCAGAGAGAGCAUAUUUCUUUUCUCCUUCUCUUCUCUCUCCCUUUUUAUUCUGCCUAGCCUCAGUAUCUUAGUUUUCCUUACAAUGAAUUUAUGUGCAUAAGCUAUUUAUUUGCCUUCUCUCUUAAUCUAUCUCUGUGGUUGUGAACAUUACUUAAGCUGGACCGGUAACUCCACAUUUCACCUUGUCAGAAAAAUUAUUCACCUUGAUGCAUAUUCAGUCUCCUAAAUCAUGAUGUAUAAAGAAUUAAAUUGUUCCUAAAUAUGUUCAUUGUGUCAUUUUGCUGCUUGUUUCCCAUCACCAAGAACCAUUUUCAUGUCAAUUUACCAUUCUGUUUCCAAACUCCCAGGUACAGGGAAAU
Molecule: long non-coding RNA, 1347 nt
Filed under: Anser brachyrhynchus (Pink-footed goose)
Lineage: Eukaryota; Metazoa; Chordata; Aves; Anseriformes; Anatidae
Description: lncRNA (ENSABRG00000022345.1)
Source: RNAcentral